This 87-nucleotide transfer RNA is filed under the name Patescibacteria group bacterium. RNAcentral's name for it is "tRNA-Leu". It matches the Rfam family "tRNA". Rfam says of the family: Transfer RNA (tRNA) molecules are approximately 80 nucleotides in length. The record is from RNAcentral.
GCCGCGGUGGUGGAGUUGGUAGACACGAGGGACUUAAAAUCCCUUGGUAGAAAUACCGCGCGGGUUCAAAUCCCGCCCGCGGCACCA